Molecule: ribosomal RNA, 1276 nt
Filed under: Calonarius cedretorum
Lineage: Eukaryota; Fungi; Basidiomycota; Agaricomycetes; Agaricales; Cortinariaceae
Description: eukaryotic LSU rRNA
Rfam family: Eukaryotic large subunit ribosomal RNA (bases 604-1276)
Source: RNAcentral
ACCUGCGGAAGGAUCAUUAUUGAAAUAAACCUGAUAAGUUGUUGCUGGUUCUCUAGGGAGCAUGUGCACACUUGUCAUCUUUGUAUCUUCACCUGUGCACCUUUUGUAGACUUGAAUAUCUCUCUGAAUGCKUAGCAGCGGUUCAGGAUUGAGGAUUGACAUUUUUUUUUGUCUCUUCUUGUAUUUUCAGGUCUAUGUUUCUUCAUAUACCCUAAUGUAUGUUUAAGAAUGUAAUUAAUGGGUCUUUUGUGCCUAUAAACAUAUACAACUUUCAGCAACGGAUCUCUUGGCUCUCGCAUCGAUGAAGAACGCAGCGAAAUGCGAUAAGUAAUGUGAAUUGCAGAAUUCAGUGAAUCAUCGAAUCUUUGAACGCACCUUGCGCUCCUUGGUAUUCCGAGGAGCAUGCCUGUUUGAGUGUCAUUAAUAUAUAUCAACCUACUUUGGUUGGAUGUGGGCUUGCUGGCCUCUGGAGGUCAGCUCCCCUUAAAUGCAUUAGCGGACAACUGCCCACUGUUCAUUGGUGUGAUAAUUAUCUACACUAUUGACAUGAAAAGCAAGCUUCAGCUUCUAACAGUCCAUUGACUUGGACAAAUUUUAUUAAUGUGACCUCAAAUCAGGUAGGACUACCCGCUGAACUUAAGCAUAUCAAUAAGCGGAGGAAAAGAAACUAACAAGGAUUCCCCUAGUAACUGCGAGUGAAGCGGGAAAAGCUCAAAUUUAAAAUCUGGCAGUUUGGCUGUCCGAGUUGUAAUCUAGAGAAGUAUUAUCCGCGCUGGACCGUGUAUAAGUCUCCUGGAAUGGAGCGUCAUAGAGGGUGAGAAUCCCGUCUUUGACAUGGACUACCAGGGCUUUGUGAUGUGCUCUCAAAGAGUCGAGUUGUUUGGGAAUGCAGCUCAAAAUGGGUGGUAAAUUCCAUCUAAAGCUAAAUAUUGGCGAGAGACCGAUAGCGAACAAGUACCGUGAGGGAAAGAUGAAAAGAACUUUGGAAAGAGAGUUAAACAGUACGUGAAAUUGCUGAAAGGGAAACGCUUAAAGUCAGUCGCGUUGUCCAGGGAUCAACUCUUGCUUUUGCUUGGUGUACUUUCUGGUUAACGGGUCAGCAUCAAUUUUGACUAUUGGAAAAAGAUCAAGGGAAUGUGGCAUCUUUGGAUGUGUUAUAGCCUUUGGUUGCAUACAUUAGUUGGGAUUGAGGAACUCAGCACGCCGCAAGGCCGAGUUUUAAUACUACGUACGUGCUUAGGAUGCUGGCAUAAUGGCUUUAAUCGACCCGUCUUGA